CAGAUGAUUUCUUGUAUACAUGUUUCAUCAACAAGUCUAAUUCAUUUCUCAUCCUCCUUCCACAAUUAAUGCACUUUGAGCAGCUAAUAUUUCUUAUUUCUUUCUUUCAAACUCGUUCUGCAUAAGAAUAUGUUAAUUCAGGCCAUAAAAAGUGCUAAAAAUACGUUAUUAGCAUAAUUAUAUGAUAUUAUAGUAUUAAAUAAAAUCAUAACAAUCAACAAAUAUAAACAUGCAUAUAUUAGCAUAUAAAGCAUCAUAAACUCAAAGUUGAUUUUUCAGAUUAUUGUGACUAUUGUUAUGACUUGUUCUAUUAAGAUAACAGAGGAUGAAAUUAGAAGAAUAAGAGAACAAGAGGAAGGGUUCAAGUGGUUCCAUGUAUUUAACACUUAAUGUGAAGAAAAGCCUUUUCUUAUUUCUUAAAACUCUGUACCUGGUCAAAUGGAUUAUACAAGGUACACUGCAAUGGAUUAUACAUUGUUAGGUACACUGCAAUGGAUUAUACAAGAAGAUUUACUCAAUGAGAUAUUCUCAAACCAGAGAUCUUUUCAUAUAACCAAACAAAUUUAUUUUGUAACUAUACUUUAUUAGUGUCAAGUUAUUAGUACACAUUUCAAGUAACUAUACUUAACCAUUUUCAAGUCACAAGUUCACAAGUUCAAGUAACUACACUUAACCAUUUUCAAGUCACAAGUUCGCAAUUUCAAGUAACUACACUUAAUCAUUUUCAAUUCACUACACUUAAUAAUUUUCAAAUAACUUAUUCACAUUUCAAGUCACUAGUACACAUUUCAAGUCACUACACUCAAACCAUUUUCAAAGAGCUAACUGGCAUUUCAAGCACUAUACUUAACCAUUUUCAAGUAACUACACUUAGCCAUUUUCAAGUCACUAAUACACAUUUCAAAUCACUACACUUGACCAUUUUCAAACAAGUAAUUCACAUUUAAAGUCACUAUACUAAACCAUUUUCAAUUCACUAGUACACAUUUCAAAUCACUACACUUAACGAUUUUCAAAUAAUUAAUUCAUAAUUUCAAGUCACUUUACUUAACCAUUUUCAAGUAACUACUUCACAUUUCAAAUAAUUAUACUUAACCAUUUUCAAGUCAGUAUACUUAACCACUUUCAAGUAACUAAUUAACAUUUCAAGUAACUACACUUUAACCAUUUUCAAGUCACUAGUACACAUUUCAAGUCACUAUACUUGUCACACCCCUAUUUUUACCGCCCCCGACCCCGCUAGGGAGGUGGUUUUAGAGAAAAAUGGGUUUUUCCAAUUAAAGUAAUGUUUUGAAAAGAAAUUAUUUAUUUUAUAGAGUCGCCACUUGGAAUUGAGUUUGGGUGUUUCAAGUCACCUUAUUGAAUCCCUAUUCAAAAGGAAAUGACUCUUAAUUUUUGGUCUGGGAACUAAAAAUCCGGAUAAGGAAUUCUGUUGACCGAGGGGAAGGUGUGAGGUACCCCUCGAGUCCCGUGGUUCAAGCACGGUCGCUUUAAUGACUUACGGCUGGCUUAAAUUAGUCUCUUGGAUACAUAAUAUUUGUUAGCCUAAAAGUUAUUCGUAUAUUCUGCUUUAUAUUAUUUUGAAUUUAUUCAAAACUAUCUUAUUAUAUAACUACGUAGCUUUUAUAGGACGCCAUCCCCUAGUUGACAUCUUAUUCCUCUUCAUAAGGCAUCAUCCCCUAGUUAAUAUCUUAUCUAGUCUUCAUAGGGCGUAAUCCCCUAGUUGACAUCUUAUUUCAUCUUCAAAGGGCACCAUCCCCUAGUUGACAUCUUAUUCGUCUUCAUAGGGCGUCAUCCCCUAGUUGACAUCUUAUUCGUCUUCAUAGGGCAUCAUUCCCUAGUUGAUAUCUUAUUUCAUCUUUAUUGGGCGUCAUCCACUAGUUGAUAUCUUAUCUUGUCUUCAAAGGGCGUCAUCCCCUAGUUGACAUCUUAUUCGUCUUCAUAGGGCGUCAUCCCCUAGUUGACAUCUUAUUUCAUCUUCAUAGGGCGUCAUUCCAUAGUUGACAUCUUAUUCGUCUUCAUAGGGCUUCAUCCCCUAGUUGACAUCUUAUCUCGUCUUCAUAGGACGUCAUCCCCUAGUUGACAUCUUAUUCGUCUUCAUAGGCCGCUUUCACCUAGUUGACAUCUUAUUCGUCUUCAUAGGGCGCCAUGCCCUAGUUGAUAUCUUAUCUCGUCCUCAUAGGGCGCCAUACCCUAGUUGGCAUUUUAUCUUGUCUUCAUAGGGCGUCAUCUCCUAGUUAAUAUUUUAUUUCGUCUUCAUAGGGUAUCAUCCCCUAGUUGACAUCAUAUUCAUCUUCAUAGGGCACCAUCCCCUAGUUGAAAUCUUAUUUCGUCUUGAUAGGGCGCCAUCUCCUGGUUGACAUCUUAUCUCGUCUUCAUAGGGCGCCAUCCCCUGGUUGGUAUCUUAUUCGUCUUCAUAGGGCGUCAUCCCCUAGUUGACAUCUUAUCUCAUCUUUAUAGGGUGCCAUCCCCUAGUUGAAAUUUUAUUUCAUCUUUAUAGGGCGCCAUCCCAUAUUUGACAUCUUAUUCGUCUUCAUAGGACAUCAUCCCCUAGUUGACAUUUUAUCUCAUCUUCAUAGGGCGUCAUCCCCUAGUUGACAUCUUAUCUUGUCUUCAUAGGGCGUCAUCCCCUAGUUGACAUCUUAUCUCGUUUUCAUAAGGCGUCAUCCCCUAGUUGACAUCUUUUCUUAUCUUCAUAGGGCGUAAUUUCCUAGUUGACAUCUUAUUCGUCUUCAUAGGGCGUCAUCCCCUAGUUGACAUCUUAUUUCAUCUUCAUAGCGUACCAUUCCCUAGUUGACAUUUUAUCUCAUCUUUAUAGGGUGCUAUUCCCUAGUUCGUAUCUUAUCUCAUUUUCAGAGGGCGCCAUACCCUAGUUGAUAUUUUAUCUUGUCUUCAUAGGGCGUCAUCCCCUAGUUGACAUCUUAUUUCGUCUUCAUAGGGUGUCAUCCCCUAGUUGACAUCAUAUUCAUCUUCAUAGGGCACCAUCAUCUUAUUUCGUCUUCAUAGGGCGCCAUCCCCUAGUAAAUAUCUUAUCUCGUCUUCAUAAGGCGUCAUCCCCUGGUUGAUAUCUUAUUCGUCUUCAUAGGGCGCCAUCCUCUAGUUGACAUCUUAUUCGUCUUCAUAAGGCGUCAUCCCCUAGUUGACAUCUUAUCUCAUCUUCAUAGGGCGCUAUCCCCUAGUUAACAUCUUAUCUCGUCUUCAUAGGGCGUCAUCCCCUGGUUGACAUCUUAUUCAUCUUCAUAGGGCGCCAUCCCCUGGUUGACAUCUUAUCUCAUCUUCAUAAGGCGCCAUCCCAUUGUUGACAUCUUAUUCGUCUUCAUAGGGCGCCAUCCCUUAGUUGACAUCUUAUUCGUCUUCAUAGGGUGCCAUCCCCUAGUUGACAUCUUAUUUCGUCUUCAUAGGGCGUCAUCCCCUAGUUGACACCUUAUCUCAUCUUCAUAAGGCGUCAUCUCCUGCUUUACAUCUUAUUCAUCUUCAUAGGGCGUCAUCCCCUAGUUGACAUCUUUUCUCGUCUUCAUAGGGCGCCAUCCCCUAAUUGACAUUUUAUCUCAUCUUCAUAGGGCGUCAUCCCCUUGUUGACAUCUUAUUUGUCUUCAUAGGGCGUCAUUCCCUAGUUGACAUCUUAUUCAUCUUCAUAGGGUGUCAUCCCCUAGUUGACAUUUUAUUUCGUCUUCAUAGGGCGUCAUCCCCUAGUUGAUAUUUUAGGAAACAAACCUUCCUAUUUUUCUUCUUUAUGUCUUCAUAGGGUAUGACAAUCCCUAGUUACAUUUUAAGAAGCAAAUAUCCUAACUCUUUUUCAUGCAUUCAUAAGGAAUAACUUCCUUUGGUUGCAUUAUUGAGAAUAGGGUUCUUAUUUUAUUGCGUACCUAGCCUAGAUUUCUAUCAUUUUCAUUUAUUUAUUUAUAAUUUUUCUAAUAAAUCACAAAUUUUCCUAACGCAAAAUUGGGGCAGAAAAUUUUGUUCGUUCUGUUUUGUUUUUCUUUGAUGGCUUGCAGGUUUUUCUACAAAGCAUAGGUUUGAUAUCGCGAAUGAAAUUUCAUCUCCGGUUAGAAUAUAGAAGAAUGGUCGGUUUGAAGAUAAUUAGAGUCAAUUUUACAUCUGUAGCGGCCCAACAUCUCAAGAGUCAUCUUCAUGUCUUCUGAUCAAGAAAACAAGCAUGUAAUGUAUUCUAUGAACUGUCCUUUGGUAGAGUGUCAAUGACUCAAUCCAAGUUUCAAGUUCAAGUCCUAACUUCAAGAUCAAAUUCUGAGAUCAAGGUACCCACGAGAAGAAGGUGAGGUGAUAACUGAAGAUCCAAGAGGAAGAUCUGAAGCAAGAGAAUCAAGAUAAUAGAAUAGAUAGGAUCUUGUAUCUCCUUUCUAAUUUCAUUUUUCUUUUCUGAUGUAAUAAAAGGAGCCACGGACCAGAAACUCGACGGAACCUCAACUCGACUCUCCAACUUACCCAUUCAUUCCUACACCCACUUGUACUACAUGUGACUUGAUUCUCUUUUAACCCGAGAUAUGUAGGAUACCCAAAGCCAGGGCUCAGUCACAUUUCUUUCUUACUUAUGUAUUACUUUAGAAUAAAUGGUUGGGCCAAAAAAUUAAUCAUGUUUACUUCUUUGCUUGAAAAUUCUCCAUAUUUCCAAGCAAAGAGGGGUAUUCUGUAAACACAUAAUUUUUUACCAAACCUAAGUAUUUUUUUUUUCAUCUUUUUAGUGUUCGAUUUAUUUUUUUUAGGGUCUAAAUUAGAUAUUUUAAGUUUAUCUUAUUUUUACUAAAUAUGUUUUAAAAAUUUUGAAAACUACAAAAAUAGAGUCACAUUUUUAAAUAAGUUUUUUAUUAUUUAUUUAUUUAUUUUUUUUUAGGAAAAAGAAAAUUUGUUAAACUAUAUUUGUUUUCUUCUUUUAACUUUUAAUAAAUAAUCUAGUGAUUUUAAUACUCUGUAAUCAUGUUUAAGACUAAUUAUUUAACUUGUCUUUUAUUGGUUUUAGAUAAUUUUUAUUUUUUUAUUUUUCUUUAUUUUUAUUAAUUUUAAAAUAAUAAUAAUUUAAAAAAAAAAACCUAAACUACUCCCCCACAUACCCACUCCCUCAAAACCACUCCCUAAACACCACUCCUCUAACCUUCCCCACGUCCCAUUCUUUCCCCAUAUCCCAUAAUUCUCUCACUUUCACAACUCACACAAACACACCACACACGACACACACAUGCACUAAUAUAAAACCUCCUUUCCACACACAAGAGAGGAUACAUUUACAGAGACAAUUAGGGAGAACAUUACAAGGAAGGAGAGAGCAAAAACAAAGAAAGAAAUUUUAGAGAAAACAAGAAAAAAAAGGGCAAGAAAUAGAAAAAGAAAACAAAUGAAAAAACAAGAAGAACACUAAUAAAAAAAAAUAGAGUGUUUCUCUCCAAAAGUUCGAGGGUUGGAGUUUGAUCUUGGUCUUUGGUUUGAGUUUACGGUGCCGGUAUUCCUAUUCAUACUUUCAUUAAUUCAUUCCACAGGUUUUUAUUUUGAUCCUGUGCUAUUUAUUUUAUAAGUUUUAUUGUGAAUCGAAGAAUUAAUGAAAUUAUUGCAAGGUCUUUUUAUAUUGUCUAGUGUAUGUAAUUUGUUACUUUUACGUAGUUCGUGUUUUACGUCUUUAUUUUUUACUUGUUUGUUGACUUAAAAUAAUGUUGAUUAGGUUUUGAAUUUCGAAUGAUAUGGUUUUUAAAAGUUAAUAACUUUUAAAGAUUAAAAAGGUUACAUUAAGUCUAUGUGUAAUUAGGAAGUAUUUAUGAUAAAUCUUGCACCAUGCAUGCAUUAGAAACAAGAAUAAGAAAAAGUAAUAAGAAAGGAGGAGAAAGCAGUGGUAACAAAAUGAGGAGAACAUAGUUGACAAUGCAUGUAAGUAUAUACUAAAUAAUGGUUACGUUUUUAAUUUAUGGAUUAUGAAAAAUGUGAAAUUUUAAAACAUUACAAAUGAUACUACAGUACUGUACCUUUUUUUUUAGGCUCACAUGCUCUUUGCUUAUUAUUUUAUUUAUGUCGGGCUUUUUAAAUUAAUAACUACUAGUAAGUUUUAAUUAACCCGGUAGACCAAGUUUAUACGUGCUCUCUUAUUAUUUCUUUGAUUUACAACAACAACAAACAAUCAAUGUUAACCAUACUUUGAUACAGUUUGAAUAAGAGUUUAAAAAGUGAAUUAGUUUAUUAAUUUAAUAGUAUGAAAUUGAGUGAAUGAGACAUGAGCAUUACUUUCAAAUCUAUUAUUAAAAAAUAUUUUCAAGAGAAUGAGUUAGGUUCUUAUCCUCUAAACAAUUAAUAAUUUAAUAUACAAGUGAAAAUUAACGAUGAAGUUGGAAAGCCCUGCUAUGGACCAUUCGUUAUAAUAAAAUCUAACUUAUCAUUUUAAAGCCGAUCUAAUCAAGUUGGGUAGAUUCUGAACAUAUUAGGUGCUUAUUUAGACUUUGAAAAAUGAAGCGAUCCAUAAAAGCCUCAAAGGCCGAAAAAUACUACUAUCGGUAAGCCACACAUCAAUACAAUUUUAAAUAUAUUCAGAAAUAAAUAAAAGUAGGAUAGAAGUAACUUUUAGGCUAACAAAUAUUAUAUAUCCAAGAGAUUAAUUUAAGACAGAUUUAAGUCAUUAAAGCGGUCGUGCUAGAACCACGAGACUCGAUGGGUGCCUAACACCUUUCCCUCGGCCAACAAAAUUCCUUAUUCGGAUUUCUAGUUCGCAGACCAAUAAAACAAAGAGUCAUUUCCUUUUGAUUAGGGAUUCAAUAAGGUGACUUGGAACACCCAAACUCAAUUCCAAGUGGCCACUCUGUAAAUAAAAUAAUCCCUAUUCAAAACAUCACUUUAAUUGAAAAAACUCAUUUUCUCCAAAACUAACUCCUUAGCGGGGUUGGAUGCGGUAAAAAAUAGGGGUGUGACAGAUGGCGACUCUGCUGGGGAUAAUCAGAAUUUGAUCUUUUAUAUUGACUUGUUUGGCUUUAUUUAAUUUUGACAUUGCAUAUUGUUGGCCUAAAUGUGUUAUUUGCCGACAUGUUUAACUGCUUUGAUAUUAUUUGAUUUGCAAUAUAAACUGUCUUCUCUCACGUACCCAUCUGAGUCUUCUGAGAUACUUUAUAUUCGGAGAUGCGGUAUACGCUCCCAAACUUGAGAUACCAGAGAUGUGGCAACACUCCUGGGAAGGAUUUUGUAGUCGCCCAUGAUUUAGAAUGGGAAGGGACCAACAGUGAGGCCAGAAAGCCCUGCUACCGGUAAAGUUGUCCCUUGCCGACUUGAGUUGUCCGCUUGUUUUACAGCCAGUCUAGAUACCUAAAUCCACCAGGUUAAACCUAGCAUAACUGAUACUUAGACAUGGUUAUCCCUAUUAGGCUCCGCUUUAUUUACAUCACAUGAAUUUUUGACUUAGUGGAGGCUCGACAAAGAUUUGAAUGUCUAAAAGUAACCUCUUUAAAGACUAUUCAUUUUCUGUGCUACUAGUUGCAUUAACUGUCUGGUUGUUUCGAAUGUUGUCCAGCUUUGGAAUUCAUUAACGUAAGAAAGGCUAAAAAUUGCUCUCUAAAACCUAUUCUUUUUCAAAGCUCAAAUGAAGCACUAGAUUUGCUUUCACAAUAAAAGACAAAAAAAUAAUUUUCUAAAUUAUCGAGUUUGCCACAAUGUGCAUGAACUAUGCACACCUGAUUCUCGUCUCAGUGAGAUACGUAGGUAGCCCUCCAUGGGUUCGGUCAUCCUAAAAAACGAAGGUUGUAUUUUCUUAAGAGAAAAAAAAAAGUUUUGAUCCUUAAAAAAAAAUCAAUCAAUUUGUUUUCAAAAAUUAAAAAAAAAUUAUUAAUAAAUUCAAUAAAAUCAUUUUCUUUCCAAAUAAAAAGUGGAUUUCUUUACGUCUCCUGCUUCACAAACUACGCACACCUGAUUUUCAUCUCAGUGAGAUACAUAGGCAACCUUUCUUAGGUUCGUUGAUCCUCUUUCAAUUUGAAAAAAUAAAGGAUGUUAGUCUUCUUCAAAAAAAAAAAAAAAAAGAAAUCCUCAGCCAAAGUAAAAAAAAAGAAUGAAAGUGUUUAUUCAGAUUUUUAAAAAAGAAAAAAAAGAAAAAUUUUUCCUCCUUAUUCAAAAUUUAAAAAAAAAAGUUCUUGCUUCAUCUUUUAAGCUUCCUGAACUACGUUUGACCUGGUUCUUGUUUCAACAAGAUACGUAGGCAACUCUUCUUUUGAGUUUGGUCUCAUCUAAAAAAAUAAAUCUUGACCUAAUAAUUGGUACCAACAUACUUAAAAAUAUGAAUUGAAAAAAAAAUUAAGUGCAUUAUGAGAUAAGAUAGAGUGGACCAACUUGAUUGUGAACUACAGAUUCUUUUGAUGCCUCUAAUUAUACUAAAGUUCACUUGCAAAAUUUUUUUGUUCUAAGUUAAAUUUAAAAUAAAUCUUACCUCACUAUUUCAUGUGCAUUGAGUGGUGAGCUUUAGAUUGAAAAUUCAAAGGCAUCGCUCUGUUGAUCUAGAACUUAGCUUGAAUGUUUGUUGAGGCAAAAUUUUGAGAUACACUUGGUUUGGGAAAGGAUUGUAGGCCUUCUUUGAUCCGAUUGUGCAUUUCAAAACCCACCAAAUAACAUUAAUUCCUAGAACUUCCCCCUUUGAGCCUUAAACCUUUUCUUUGGAUAACCACAUCUGAGCCUGUACCUUUCGAGUACUUAUAUGCAUUAUCUCUCUUUUGACCUACUUCAUUGAGCGCACUAAAUACGUACAAGUUGCAAAUGAAGACUCAAGAUCAAAAGCGUCAAAGGCAAAGAAUGUAUAGCCUGAGAGAACAAAAAUAAAAGACGACUUCAAAGAAGAAAGAGCAAAACCCCAUAAAAAAAGAUUAAAUAAAAAAAGAGAAAACUCCAACAAAGAUGGAGAAUCUUCAUAAAAGGAAAGAAGGAAAAAUAAUAAUACUUUUAUCGAAAAGAAAAGGGAAAAAGCUCUAGCACAAGAUUUAAACAAAGUCAAAGCAAAUACAUGACAAGGGGCAAAGAAUCACAACAAAGAAGAUCGAGCGUCAAACCGCAACAAAUAGCAAAAGCACGGAAACAGUGCAGUUUUCAUUGAGGAAUUAAUCACUUAACUCCCAAAUAUCAUCCUACCUGUCCCUAAGCCUACAAUAUCAACCAAUGACAAGUCCUACAUGAUUCCAUUUUGAGUGUUCUUACAUUAGUGGAUAGUUACAUGAUUGUCAAGCUUAUGGUAUCUCAUUGAUGCGUUGAAUAUCUUUCGGAGUGUGAGUGAUUCUUGAAUGUCCUCAAAUUUAAAAUCUUUUAUUAUAAGUAAAUUAGUACUUUAGUUGUGGUAAGGGUACUUGAAACUUGAGGAUAAGAAGGAUUUUAAACACUUGAUUGAGGCAAGAUAAAAAGAUCUUGUCGAAAAUUAAGUAUAUUCGAGGUGCCAUUUGAAACUAUAGGGAUCACUUCUAAGUUGAUCUUGAUUUUUGCUCGAAAGUAAUUAGAGAUAAUUCAACCAUAAUACUAAUUGUUGGUACCAAUUGAGUUAAGAAAUGAAUUAAUUUCAUUCUUUCAUUCUCUAGAUAUUUACAAAGCACAUACUUUCAACAAAAAUGAAAUAAAAAAAAUAUGUUUGUUGUGCACUACAUUAGACCUGAUUCUUGCUACGUAAGAUACGUAGGCAAUCCUAUGAUAGGGAUCGCUCUCGCUGAAUAAAUUUUUUUUACAUCCCUAAAAGGCAUAAUACUGGAGCAUUUUUUUUUUAUUAAAAAUAAAAUUCAAAGUUCCUCGCAUAAAAAAUUGGGGCAUAUUUUUUUACUAAAAAAAAAAAAAAUCUCACUUACCUCAAUAGGUAAAGAAUCUCCUGAGUACUCCUUAGGGAACAAAACUUCCUAAAUCUUAUUGGUCUUCAUAGGGCGUCAUCCCCUAGUUGACAUCUUAUUCGUCUUUAUAGGGCGUCAUCCCCUAGUUGACAUCUUAUCUCGUCUUCAUAGGGCGCCAUACCCUAGUUGAUAUCUUAUCUCGUCCUCAUAGGGUGCCAUCCCCUAGUUGACAUCUUAUUCAUCUUCAUAGGGCGUCAUCCUCUAGUUGACAUCUUAGGAAACACCAUUUCCUAAUUUUUCUUAUUUGUCUUCAUAGGGCGCCAUCCCCUAGUUGACAUCUUAUCUCGUCUUCAUAGGGCGCCAUCCCCUAGUUGACAUCUUAUUCAUCUUCAUAGGGCGUCAUCCUCUAGUUGACAUCUUAGGAAACACCAUUUCCUAAUUUUUCUUAUUUGUCUUCAUAGGGCGCCAUCUCCUAGUUGACAUUUUAUUUCGACUUUAUAGGGCGUCAUCCCCUAGUUGACAUUUUAGGAAAUAAACCUUCCUAUUUUUCUUCUUUAUGUCUUCAUAGAGUAUGACAAUCCAUAGUCGCAUUUUAAGAAGUAAAUAUUCUAACUCUUUUGCAUGCAUUCAUAAGGCAUAAUUUCCUUUAGCUGCAUUAUUGAGAAUAGGAAUCUUAUUUUAUCGCGUACCUAGCCUAAAUUUCUAUCAUUUUCAUUUAUUCAUUUUAUUUAUUUAUUUUAAUUAGUUUAUAGUUUUUUCAUAACUCACAAAAUUUUCCUAGUGCAAACUGGGAUGGAAAAUUUUGCUCGUUUUGUUUUGUUUUUCUUUGAUAGCUUGAAGGUUUUUCUGCAAAGUACAUGUUUGAUGCCGAGAAUGAAACUUUGCCUCCGGUAAGAACAUAGAAGAAUGACCAGUUUAAAGAUAGUUAGAUUCAACUUUGCAUCUGUAGCGGCCCAACAUCUCAGGAGUCAUCUUCAUGUCUUCUGAUCAAGAAAACAAGCAUGCAAAGUAUUCUAUGAACUGUUCUUUGGUAGAGUGUCAAUGACUCAAUUCAAGUUUCAAGUUCUAGUCUCAAAUCCUAACUUCAAGAUCAAAGUCUGAGAUCAAGGUACCCACCAGUAGAAGGUGAGGCGAUAACUGAAGAUCGAAGAGAAAGAUCUAAAGCAAGAGAAUCAAGACAAUAGAAUAGAUAGGAUCUUGUAUCUCUUUUCUAGUUUCAUUUUUAUUUUCUGAUGUAAUAAAAGGAGCCACGAAUCGGAAACUCGAUGGAACUUCAACUCAACUCUCUAACCCACCCUUCCUCUCUUACAUCAAUUUGAACUACACGUGACCUGAUUCUCUUAUAACCCGACAUAUAUAGGAUGUCCAAAGCCAGGGCUCGGUCACACCUCUUUCCUACUUAUUUACAUAUUACUUUUGAAUAAAUGAUUGGGCCAAAAAUUAGUCAUGUUUACUUUUUUGCUUGAAAAUUCUCCAUAUUUUCGAGUAAAGAGGAGCAUUCUGUAAACACCUAAUUUUUUAUAAAACCUUUCUUUGCUUGAAAAUUCUCCAUAUUUUCAAGUAAAGAGGGGCAUUCUGUAAACACCUAAUUUUUUACCAAACCUAAUGUUUUUAUACCAUUUUAAUGUUCAAUUUAUUUUUAUUGUUUUUUAGGUCUAAAUUAGAUAUUUUAAGUUUAUCUUAUUUUACAAGUUUUGUUAGAAGUUUUGAAAACUACAAAAAUUAGAGUCACAUUUUAAUAAGCUUUUAUUUUAUUACUUAUUUAUUUAUUAAUUUUUAAAAAAAUAAUAAAAAUUAUAUUUGUCUUGUUAUUUUAACUUUUAAUAAAGAAUCUAGUGAUAUUAAUAUUUUUUUAAUCAUAUUUCUAAGAAGCUAGCUAUUUAACUUAUCUUGUAUUUUAUUAGUUUUAAAUAAAUUUUAUCUUCUUUCUAUUUGAAACAUUAAAAAAAAAAGAGAAAAAAAAAAGAAAAGAAACCCUAAACUACCCAAAAACCCACGUUCCACACCAAUCCCACUAAUUCCCCACGUCCACCAUCCUCAACUUCCAACACAUGCACACAAUCACACAAUAUAUAAUACCUCACAAGCAUACACAAAAAGAAGGGAGGGAUGAGGGAGAACAUUGAAUGAGAGAAAAACACAGAAAGAGAGAAUAAUAAAGAAAGGAAAACACUUAGAAAAGAAGGGAGAAUAGAACACAAAAAGAGAUUAGAGAAAAGAAACAGAAAAACAAGAAGAAAAAGUGAGAAAAACGAAGACAGAAAAGGAGAAGAGAAGAAGAGUUUGGGUUAAGAGUUUGGAGUUUCGUUUGACGUUUCUGGUGAGGGAUUUUCUUACGACGUUAUGCGGUUCGAUUUACUGUAGAGGUUCUUGCCUAAUACCUUUCUAUUUUGUUUAUUAUAAGUUCAUUAUGAAUCAAUAUAUGGACAAAGUUAUUUAAAUGGUCUCCUGUAUUAUAUAUUAUAGUUUAGUUUGAUAUUUCUGGCAGAGCUUCUGCUAUGCAAAUAAACUCUUCUCUUGAAAUUUCUUUGUACGAAGAAGCGAGGGAGAAAAUCGAAACAAAAUCUUAUAAAAGUUGAUUCAUAUUUGAUUAUAUCGUGUGUUAAGUAUUUAUUUAUAUAAAUGGGUCAUAACCAUCUACCCGCUAGACUAUUUGGUAUUUAAUAUCCUUAGUUCAUUUUAAUACUAGUUCUUAACAUAAUUAGUAUGUUGAUGGGUGAAGUGGAUGUUUUACAGAAAUAUGAUCGUUUGGCAUGGGAAUGUUCUGUCUAGUAAUAUUAUCAGAAUGCAUUGUCUAUUCUUUUUUUUUAUAAGAUUUGCAUUUUGUAAACUAAGAAUAAAAAAAUAUCAUCAAGUAAAACCGAAAGGAAAUUCGAAAUGAGAUAAGCUUGAAUAGUUAGAGUAAAAGCAAAAUCAAGAGUCUCAAAUUCAAAAGCAGUGUAUUUGAUUAUUGAAGGAUAAGGCUUAAGUGAUGGAUAUAUCUUUUGUUAUUUUAUUUAUUUAUUUAUUUAAUGGGUUGUCCUGGGAAGUAGUAUGAAAGCCUUGAUUAAUAACUCUUCUUAUCCUAUAUUAUGGGUUUUAACCAAGAAUGAUUUCUUUUUUUGUAAACAUGCUACUAUGUAAUGCUAUUUGGUGAUUUGUGUGCUUUAACAUUGUUACCUUUACUUUAUGCAUGUAAAAGAACUAACUUCCAGUGUAAAUCUUUAUUGAAAUUGAUAUUUGAGUGUUCGAUUUUUUUUAGUUUCGCCAUUGUUACUUUUAUUUGUCCUUACCUUUACUAGAAGUGAAAUAAAGUUUGAGCAAUUAUAUUUAAUAAAGAUAGAGGAUUACUAUGCAUGGAACAAUGUUCGAAUUUUAUUUUUGCGUAAAAGAGAGGAAAGACUCAUUUGCAAGGGAGCAAACUCGAAAAGAAUGAUUUAGGUUCUUGAUCUUUAAAAAAUUUUAAAGUUUUAUACAUAAGUAAAAAUUAACGGUGAAGUUGGAAAGCCCUGCUACCGACCAUUCAUUAUAAUAAAAAUCAACAUACUGUUUUAAAACCGAUCUAAUUCUGUUGGAUAGAUCUUAAACAGAUUAGGUGCUUAUUUAGACUAGGAAAAUGGGGACGACUCAUAAAUGCCUCAAAGGAACGAGAAAUAUAUCAAAAUUCGUGGUAAGGCCGAAAAGUACUACUAUCAGUAAGCCACACCUCAAUACAGUUUUAAAUAUAUUCAAAAAUAAAUAAAAGCGGGAUGUAAGUUACUUAUAGGCUAACAAAUCUUCUGUAUCUAAAAGAUCAAUUUAAGCCAGACGUAAGUCAUUAAAGCGACUAUGUUAGAACCACGGGACUCGAGGGGUGACUCACACCUUCCCCUCGGUCAACAGAAUUCCUUAUCCGGAUUACUAGUUCGCAGACCAAUAAAACAAAGAGUCAUUUCCUUUUGAUUGGGGAUUCAAUAAGGUGACUUGGAACACCCAAACUCAAUUCCAAGUGGCGACUCUGUAAAAUAAUUAAUCCCUUUUCAAAACGUUACUUUAAUUGGAAAAACCCAUUUUCUCUAAAACCAACUCCUUAGUGGGGUCGGAUGCGGUGAAAAAUAGGGGUGUGACAAUACUUAGCCAUAUUUUUAAGUAACUACCACUACUUAAAAAAACAAGAAAAGCGACCACAAAAAUCGACCACAUGUGGUCGCUUUUCUGUUUCACUUCAAGUCGCUAAUUCACUUCACAAGUUACCAAACUAAAUUAAAUUCAAAACAAAAGUUCACAUUUCAAAUACCUACACUUAAACAUUUUCAAGUCACUAAUUCACAUAACAAGUUACCAAACUAAACUAAAUUCAAAACAAAAGUUCACAUUUCAAGUACCUACACUUAAACAUUUUCAAGUCACUAAUUCAUUUCACAAGUUACCAAACUAAACUAAAUUCAAAACAAAAGUUCACAUUUCAAGUACCUUCACUUAAACAUUUUCAAGUUGCUAAUUCACUUCUCAAGUGACCAUGUACUUUACUAAAUUCAAAACAAAUGUUCACAUUUCAAAUACCUACAUUUAAACAUUUCAAGUAACUAAUUCACUUCACAAGUGACCAUGUAUUUUACUAAAUUCAAAACUAAAGUUCACAUUUCAAGUACCUACACUUAAACAUUUUCAAGUCACUAAUUCACUUCUCAAGUGACCAUACUUUACUAAAUUCAAAGCACAAAUUCACAUUUCAAAUACCUACACUUAAACAUUUUCAAGUCAUUAAUUCACUUCUCAAGUGACUAUGUACCGUACUAAAUUCAAAAAAAACUUCACCUUUCAAGUACCUACACUUAAAUAUUUCAAGUCACUAAUUCACUGCACAAGUUAUAACUAAACUAAACUAAAUUCAAAACACAAGUUCACAUUUCAAUUACCUACACUUAAACAAAUCGAAGUCACUACCUUACUAAAUUCAAAACAAAAGUUCACCUUUCAAGUACCUACACUUAAAUAUUUCAAGUCACUAAUUCACUGCACAAGUUAUAACUAAACUAAACUAAAUUCAAAACACAAGUUCACAUUUCAAUUACCUACACUUAAACAAAUCGAAGUCACUACCUUACUAAAUUCAAAACAAAAGUUCGUCUUUCAAGUACCUACACUUAAACAUUUCAAGUCAGUAAUUCACUUCACAAAAGUUACCAAACUAAACUAAAUUCAAAACAAAAGUUCACCUUUCAGGUAUUACCAAACUAAACUAAAUUUAAAACACAAGUUCACAUUUGAAGUACCUACACUUAAACAAAUCGAGGUCACUACCUUACUAAAUUCAAAACAAAAGUUCACCUUUCAGGUAUUACCAAACUAAACUAAAUUUAAAACACAAGUUCACAUUUGAAGUACCUACACUUAAACAAAUCGAGGUCACUACCUUACUAAAUUCAAAACAAAAGUUCACCUUUCANNNNNNNNNNNNNNNNNNNNNNNNNNNNNNNNNNNNNNNNNNNNNNNNNNNNNNNNNNNNNNNNCCGUCCCACUCCCCUCCCAUCCCAGGCUCCGCCCGAGCCCAGAACCGCCCCUCCCUUUCCCGUCCCAGGCUCCGCCCAAGCCCGGGACCGCCCCUCCCCCUCCCCCAAAUUGUGUAAUGUUAAGUUAAUGUGUAUAUUUAUGCUAUUUUUUCUAUUAAAUAACUGCUUCAGGUGAUAGUAAAUUAAAAUACACUAUAUCGUUUUUAAACAAUAUAUUUGAAUAAAAGAAUUUAUUCGUGAGGAAAUUGCGGAUAAUAAAAUUAGAAUAUAGAUAAUCCGACAGUUUAUUAUAGGCUUUUAAAUUUAUGAUAAAAUAUAUAUAAACUAGACCUUGAUAGAGAAUGAUGAAAUGCUUAUCAAUAGCUAAAUAAUGAUCUAAUUGUUGUUUGGCCAAGCCAUCUAAUUAGGUUUUAGGAGAUGAGCUCAUUUUAUCCUAAGCACAAGGUUUAUUUGGACAAUGCCAUUUAUAGGGGUAGUACUUACUUCUAAUGCAUUUUUUUCUGUUUGUAGGGUAGAAUCCGAGAUCUUCGAUUAAAUAAUAUAAGGAUCCUAACUAUUUCAUCACAACUCAUAUUGAUAAAAAUAAAUCCAUACAUCUGAUUGCAAAAAAAAGUAUCAAUAUUAACAUCUAAUUAAUUUUACAAAACAAAACAAAAAGUUUAAGAUGUAUUAACUAAACUAGUACUUUUUAGGCUAAUGACUGAAACAGAUGCACAUUGAUGAGCUAAAAUUAUAUCAUAUGUUUGUAGCUCAUAACAUUAAAAUUCAUUUAAUUACAGAGUGUUCCUGCCUAACUUUAUCUAAACAUAGAUCACCAAGUUUCAUGAUUUUGAGUUUUUUUUUCUCUCCUUCAAAUUGCAUUUUGCACCAUAAUAACAUCUUAUUUUUAAAAGUUUAUGUCGAUUCACAUGAGAUACGCACGCCCACCUGAAAGAAAAGAUGAAGAGUGAAUACUUGAGUCUAGAGAAGCCACCUAUUAUCUCUCUCACGUCCACCGUUCCAACACAGUUAUUGUCAAAUAGAUCAAAUAUCCUCCCAGGCAAAGGCACCAACGAUGUCAUUUCCAUAGCUUUUAGCACCUCUUCAAACGCCAACAAUGUUGUAUUUUCUCCAUUUUUGCAUCUGUGCUAUUUUUUUUACAUUACUAAUGUACACAAUAUUUUACUAAAAUAAAGUUCAUUGACUAUGCAUGUAACUACGAACCCAUAAGUGUCACACUUGUUUGACAUGAGUACAUCUGGGAAAAUGACAAAGUCCACUGCCCAUGUAGUAAUAGGAGUAAUCUGGCAUAGAUGAGCUGCCUCGUUUUACAUGAUUAGUCCUUGCUUGAUCAUGUGCAGUUUAUCAGUUUAUUGCCGUUAGUUUCUUUGUACUAAUUUGGCAUUUUGUGUGAGCAAAUAGUAUCUAUGCUCUGAGCUCUCCACCCUAUCCACCCCUUCCCCCCACUAACUGUCCCUUGCAAGGGAUUUGCUUCUUUCAGUCACAUGUGGGAGUAACUCUACUUAAUGCAAUGCCUCCCCCUAAAGGAGAAAAGUCAUCUGAUGGAUCAUCUAUCAAUGAUUUUGCAAAACCUGCCAAGUCGAAGAAACUUAAACUUGCUACAGAAAAUGGAGAAGGCCCUUCAAAAAGAAAAGCUACCAGAAGUCAAGCUGGUAAUCACCAUCUUACACCUGCAGAGAUGCAGCGACAGAAACUAAAGAAACUUAUGGAUGAGCUUAAUGAGGGAGGUGGUGAUGGUCAGGCACCAAUUGUGAAACUUGGGGAUGCUUCAAUGGCAUCACCAUUCACUGCAAAGUAUGCUUCUGUCUGCCCUACCACUGACAUCAUCCGUCAAGACUCACACGCCACUGCCUAUUUGGUAAACAAUAAGUUUGAGUUAUUGCUUUUAUUAGGUUUGCACUAUAGUGCGACAUUGGUGCAUUAUGGAUGCUUCUAAAAGUACUGUGCAGCGCACCUGUUGAGAAGCGAAUUAUAACCCCAUUAUCUCCAAAAAAAAAGACUCAUAGAAUGACCCAUACGUCCUACAAAUAUACUCUUCACAGAGAAAAUUCUCUAAUCCACGCUUUAUUAUAAACAUCUCGUGUUUCUAGAAAUCCUGAACUUGAAUCCUCUUCAGCAAGCUUGGGGAAAAUCCAUGCUAUUUUUUUUGCUCAACAUGGAGGCAACUAAGUCGUAGUACGCGUGGAUAUUGGCUCUCUAUAAACAUCCCCUAUAGGGUAGCUGGCCAUAAGUUUCAAAUCUUGCCUGAGUCUAGAUGGAAAAUAAGUAUUUGAUUCUCAAGUUACUCAAUCGAGCAUGUUGCUUGCAGUAGACAUAUGUUAUUAAACAAACUCACUCCAAGAAAACCCUGAUAUGAACUAAACACUGACUGAAUGCAGGUUGAAAACUCCGUAUAAAUCAACUUCGAUUUGUUAAAGGCUUAAAAGGAUAGUUAAGAAACAAAUAAACAAUUACAACUUUGAAAAAAGAACUAACCUUGGUACGCCUCAUUUAUUUCUUGAAACCUUGGUAGCGUUCCAAGAACCAUUAAAAACGACUGGAUACAUUUCUUGCCGGCUGAUCGUUGGGCUGGCUUUCGGUGCUGGUAGCGGAUAGAAGAGAUGAUGAGAGGCGGUGGCGGCGGCACUAGUUUGCUCGUCGACUGCAUGGCUGUUGUGCAGCGGCGGCUGGUGGCGCUAGGGAGGGAAAGGAGAGAGGAAGAAAGGAGGGGCGGCAGUCUUGCCGGCGACGCAGCUCACCGGAGCGUGGUAUUCGCCGGUGGUUGACCUUAGAAUGAGAGAAGAGAGAAGGGAUAGAAAAGGUGCGGCUCAUUU
RNAcentral lists this long non-coding RNA (18051 nucleotides) under Capsicum annuum. Its description in RNAcentral is "long non-coding RNA (CANN_LNC013909)". Lineage: Eukaryota; Viridiplantae; Streptophyta; Magnoliopsida; Solanales; Solanaceae. The record is from RNAcentral.